AACGAACGCUGGCGGCAGGCCUAACACAUGCAAGUCGAGCGAGGACUUCGGUUCUAGCGGCGGACGGUUGAGUAACGCGUGGGAAUGUGCCCUUCUCUACGGAAUAGCCCUGGGAAACUGGGAGUAAUACCGUAUACGCCCUUUUGGGGAAAGAUUUAUCGGAGAAGGAUCAGCCCGCGUUGGAUUAGGUAGUUGGUGGGGUAAUGGCCUACCAAGCCGACGAUCCAUAGCUGGUUUGAGAGGAUGAUCAGCCACACUGGGACUGAGACACGGCCCAGACUCCUACGGGAGGCAGCAGUGGGGAAUCUUAGACAAUGGGGGCAACCCUGAUCUAGCCAUGCCGCGUGAGUGAUGAAGGCCUUAGGGUUGUAAAGCUCUUUCAGCUGGGAAGAUAAUGACGGUACCAGCAGAAGAAGCCCCGGCUAACUCCGUG
RNAcentral lists this ribosomal RNA (433 nucleotides) under uncultured bacterium. Its description in RNAcentral is "partial 16S ribosomal RNA". It matches the Rfam family "Bacterial small subunit ribosomal RNA", at positions 29 to 507 of the family's 1533-position model. The record is from RNAcentral.